UACCCGCAGCACAAGUGGUGGUCAUUAUUCUUGGGCCUAAAGCGUCCGUAGCUGGCCUGUUAGAUGCCUGGGUAAAUCGAUGCGCUCAACGUAUCGAACUCCGGGUAGACCGGCAGGCUUGGGACCGGGAGAGGCGUGAGCUACUCGGGGGGUAGGGGUAAAAUCCUGUAAUCCUCCGGGGAGGACCAGUGGCGAAGGCGUCACGCUAGAACGGCUCCGACAGUGAGGGACGAAGCCCUGGGGCGCAAACCGG
RNAcentral lists this ribosomal RNA (253 nucleotides) under uncultured bacterium. Its description in RNAcentral is "partial 16S ribosomal RNA". It matches the Rfam family "Archaeal small subunit ribosomal RNA", at positions 474 to 727 of the family's 1478-position model. The record is from RNAcentral.